RNAcentral lists this long non-coding RNA (1108 nucleotides) under Brassica napus (rape). RNAcentral describes it as "long non-coding RNA (BNAP_LNC014990)". The record is from RNAcentral. Lineage: Eukaryota; Viridiplantae; Streptophyta; Magnoliopsida; Brassicales; Brassicaceae.
AUAAUAUAGAAUUUAAAUUAAAUGAUAUUAAUAUAUGUAUAUAUAUACAAUACGAAUAUCUAUUACUGGGACAUCAUAUUAAUACGAUUUAUAAUCACUUGUAUUUUUCUUGAACAAAAAAAUUAAACCAUUGAUCACAAAAUUUUUAAUGUGGGGUUUUUACCAUUUUUAGUAAUUUAUAGUCAUUUAAAAAUUUCAAAAUAUAACAUAUAAGGAAUAAUCUAAUAGUUUUAUUAUAUGCUUCAUAUGAUUGUUUAAUUUUUUUUAAUAAUAUAUAAUUAAUUAAACAAAAGAGAGAGAGAGAGAGAGAGGAUAGAAAAAUUGUUAUCAAAUAUGUAUUACUCAUAAUCAUUAAUUGUCAUAUAUAUGUUAACAAUAUUAGGUAAUUCCGUAGCUUUUAUUUAAGGAAAUAAUUGGGAAUAUUAUUUUGUCACUACUAAUCAAUUUGAUAGUUAGUUUAAUAAAAAUAUAAUAUAUAUUUGUAUGGACCAACUUAUUUUUCUAAGGAUUCUAAGAAUCAUCAUAGUGAUGAAACUUGGCUAUGAAAACAUGUUGUAAUGCUCCAGGAUUAAUAUAUAGGGGAUUUGGAACUAAAGUAUGAAUAGUAGGGAUGUUGAAUAUACAGUAUGUUAGUGUUUAUAUUUAUAAUUUAGAGUAGAAGGUUUAUGUAUAGAGUUUAAGUUUUAAAUGUAUGUUUAUGGUAUAUAGUUUGACUAAAGAUUUAAGGUUUGUGUUCUGGAAGUUAUAGAUUAAGAUUAAAAGGAAUAAUUUUGAGUUUAAGUUUACGAUUUCAGGUUAUAGUAUGAAAAGAUUAGAGUUUUAAGGUUUAAGUUUAGAUUUUAGGAUUUAAAACAUGUUUAGGGUUUAGGGUUUCAAAGAUUCUAAAUUGAUAUUUCAUUGCAGUUCUCAAAACAAUGCUAUCAUAAUGUGAUAUCGAAAAAGAAAAAAAAGUUAUGUCGUGGCACUUGUCUAAUUUUCACCUAAGUAUUGGCGGUAUUAGUGAUUUUUUAUUCCCGCUCACUAAUUUUUCACAAAACGUUAAUUAACUGCUAUUAAUAUAAAUAAAAAUCAGAAACUGAUUUCUCAUAGCAGCAGUUAUGAAAAUAAU